This 459-nucleotide ribosomal RNA is filed under the name uncultured bacterium. Its description in RNAcentral is "bacterial SSU rRNA". It matches the Rfam family "Bacterial small subunit ribosomal RNA", at positions 327 to 805 of the family's 1533-position model. The record is from RNAcentral.
AACCGAGAACUCCUACGGGAGGCAGCAGUGGGAAAUAUUGGACAAUGGGCGAAAGCCUGAUCCAGCAAUGCCGCGUGAGUGAUGAAGGCCUUAGGGUUGUAAAGCUCUUUUACCCGGGAUGAUAAUCACAGUACCGGGAGAAUAAGCCCCGGCUAACUCCGUGCAGCAGCCGCGGUAAUACGGAGGGGGCUAGCGUUGUUCGGAAUUACUGGGCGUAAAGCGUGCGCAGGCGGUUGUGUAAGUCAGAUGUGAAAUCCCCGGGCUCAACCUGGGAAUUGCAUUUGAGACUGCACGGCUAGAGUGUGUCAGAGGGGGGUAGAAUUCCACGUGUAGCAGUGAAAUGCGUAGAUAUGUGGAGGAAUACCGAUGGCGAAGGCAGCCCCCUGGGAUAACACUGACGCUCAUGCACGAAAGCGUGGGGAGCAAACAGGAUUAGAUACCCGUGUAGUCCGACUGAGA